UAGACAACCUGCCUCGAAGUGGGGGACAACAGCGGGAAACUGCUGCUAAUACCGCAUGUGGCCAUCCAGCGCCUGUUGGAAUGGCUAAAGGCGCAAGUCGCUUCGAGAUGGGUCUGCGGCCUAUCAGUUAGUUGGUGGGGUAACGGCCUACCAAGACGACGACGGGUAGCUGGUCUGAGAGGACGAUCAGCCAGACGGGGACUGAGACACGGCCCCG
This 217-nucleotide ribosomal RNA is filed under the name uncultured bacterium. RNAcentral describes it as "partial 16S ribosomal RNA". It matches the Rfam family "Bacterial small subunit ribosomal RNA", at positions 118 to 334 of the family's 1533-position model. The record is from RNAcentral.